GAGUUUGAUCGUGGCUCAGGAUGAACGCUGGCGGCGUGCUUAACACAUGCAAGUCGAACGAGGAAUUUUAAAUGAGACUUCGGUGGAUUUUAAAAUUCUUAGUGGCGGACGGGUGAGUAACGCGUGGGCAACCUGCCCUGUACAGGGGGACAACAGCUGGAAACGGCUGCUAAUACCGCAUAAGACCACGGAGCCGCAUGGCUCAGUGGGAAAAACUCCGGUGGUACAGGAUGGGCCCGCGUUGGAUUAGGUAGUUGGUGAGGUAACGGCCCACCAAGCCGACGAUCCAUAGCCGACCUGAGAGGGUGACCGGCCACGUUGGGACUGAGACACGGCCCAAACUCCUACGGGAGGCAGCAGUGGGGAAUCUUCCGCAAUGGGCGAAAGCCUGACGGAGCAACGCCGCGUGAGUGAAGAAUUAUUUCGGUAUGUAAAGCUCUAUCAGCAGGGAAGAAAAUGACGGUACCUGACUAAGAAGCCCCGGCUAACUACGUGCCAGCCGCCGCCGUAAC
RNAcentral lists this ribosomal RNA (512 nucleotides) under uncultured microorganism. RNAcentral describes it as "bacterial SSU rRNA". It matches the Rfam family "Bacterial small subunit ribosomal RNA", at positions 9 to 524 of the family's 1533-position model. The record is from RNAcentral.